GCAUAGCGGCGCCAGAAUUAAAGCGUCGGCUUGAAAACUCACAGGUGCGGCACGAGGCAGUGAAGCAGGAUUAUAGAACAGCGAAUGUCAAGACACCUCCUCCCAAAGUGGGAUGUAAUCCUGUUAUUUCAAUUGUGGCGGGCCUGUGAUUAAACUGUAAGCUGAAUGUGUUCAUCCAUCCACUCUUUCAAUUCACUGAAACAAUAAAUCAGGGACACCACUGGAGAAACGUCACUUGGUCUGAGAGGAACAUAGAGCCGUCUGCAUGUGAGUGACGAAGUCCAAUCUUUGCCCUCCUUAUUGUCUUUGAGACCGC
Long non-coding RNA from Polypterus senegalus (gray bichir), 316 nucleotides. RefSeq lists it as uncharacterized. The record is from RefSeq and is a predicted model, not a curated record. The transcript is spliced from 4 exons. NCBI's taxonomy places the organism in Eukaryota, Metazoa, Chordata, Cladistia, Polypteriformes, Polypteridae.